GACAGAGGGUGCAAGCGUUGUUCGGAAUUAUUGGGCGUAAAGCGCACGUAGGCGGCUCGUUAAGUCUAGUGUGAAAGCCCGGGGCUCAACCCCGGAAGUGCACCGGAAACUGGCGAGCUCGAGUCCCGGAGAGGGUGGUGGAAUUCCUGGUGUAGAGGUGAAAUUCGUAGAUAUCAGGAGGAACACCCGAGGCGAAGGCGACCACCUGGACGGUGACUGACGCUGAGGUGCGAAAGCGUGGGGAGCAAACAGG
Molecule: ribosomal RNA, 253 nt
Filed under: uncultured bacterium
Lineage: Bacteria
Description: partial 16S ribosomal RNA
Rfam family: Bacterial small subunit ribosomal RNA
Source: RNAcentral